This 443-nucleotide ribosomal RNA is filed under the name uncultured bacterium. Its description in RNAcentral is "partial 16S ribosomal RNA". It matches the Rfam family "Bacterial small subunit ribosomal RNA", at positions 338 to 795 of the family's 1533-position model. The record is from RNAcentral.
CCUACGGGGGGCAGCAGUGGGGAAUAUUGGGCAAUGGGCGCAAGCCUGACCCAGCAACGCCGCGUGAAGGAAGAAGGCUUUCGGGUUGUAAACUUCUUUUCUCAGGGACGAAGCAAGUGACGGUACCUGAGGAAUAAGCCACGGCUAACUACGUGCAAGCAGCCGCGGUAAUACGUAGGUGGCAGGCGUUAUCCGGAUUUACUGGGUGUAAAGGGCGUGUAGGCGGGAAAGCAAGUGAGAUGUGAAAACCAUGGGCUCAACCUGUGGCCUGCAUCGGAAACUGGUUUGCUUGAGUACUGGGGAGGCAGACGGAAUUCGUAGUGUAGCGGUGAAAUGCGUAGAUAUUAGGAGGAACACCAGUGGCGAAGGCGGUCUGCUGGACAGCAACUGACGCUGAGGCGCGAAAGCGUGGGUAGCAAACAGGAUUAGAUACCCCUGUAGUC